CUAGUCAUAUGGAUUCGCCCGCCGCGCCCCGCGCCCGUCCCGCCGCCCCCGCCCGCUCCUAUGGGAGGCAGCAGUGGGGGAUAUUGGACAAUGGGGGGAACCCUGAUCCAGCGACGCCGCGUGAGUGAGGAAGUAUUUCGGUAUGUAAAGCUCUAUCAGCAGGGAAGAAAAUGACGGUACCUGACUAAGAAGCCCCGGCUAACUACGUGCCAGCAGCCGCGGUAAUACAAU
This 231-nucleotide ribosomal RNA is filed under the name uncultured organism. RNAcentral's name for it is "partial 16S ribosomal RNA". It matches the Rfam family "Bacterial small subunit ribosomal RNA", at positions 304 to 529 of the family's 1533-position model. The record is from RNAcentral.